AUCCAGCUGACGAAUCCGAAAUGGGUUGAAAUGGCCGUCCUGGAU
RNAcentral lists this non-coding RNA (45 nucleotides) under Schistosoma margrebowiei. Lineage: Eukaryota; Metazoa; Platyhelminthes; Trematoda; Strigeidida; Schistosomatidae. The record is from RNAcentral.